GUGAGUAAUGCCUAGGAUCUGCCUGGUAGUGGGGGAUAACGCUCGGAAACGGACGCUAAUACCGCAUACGUCCUACGGGAGAAAGCAGGGGACCUUCGGGCCUUGCGCUAUCAGAUGAGCCUAGGUCGGAUUAGCUAGUUGGUGAGGUAAUGGCUCACCAAGGCGACGAUCCGUAACUGGUCUGAGAGGAUGAUCAGUCACACUGGAACUGAGACACGGUCCAGACUCCUACGGGAGGCAGCAGUGGGGAAUAUUGGACAAUGGGCGAAAGCCUGAUCCAGCCAUGCCGCGUGUGUGAAGAAGGUCUUCGGAUUGUAAAGCACUUUAAGUUGGGAGGAAGGGCAGUUACCUAAUACGUGAUUGUUUUGACGUUACCGACAGAAUAAGCACCGGCUAACUCUGUGCCAGCAGCCGCGGUAAUACAGAGGGUGCAAGCGUUAAUCGGAAUUACUGGGCGUAAAGCGCGCGUAGGUGGUUUGUUAAGUUGGAUGUGAAAUCCCCGGGCUCAACCUGGGAACUGCAUCCAAAACUGGCAAGCUAGAGUAUGGUAGAGGGUGGUGGAAUUUCCUGUGUAGCGGUGAAAUGCGUAGAUAUAGGAAGGAACACCAGUGGCGAAGGC
This 619-nucleotide ribosomal RNA is filed under the name Pseudomonas sp. EECC-302. RNAcentral's name for it is "bacterial SSU rRNA". It matches the Rfam family "Bacterial small subunit ribosomal RNA", at positions 106 to 722 of the family's 1533-position model. Lineage: Bacteria; Pseudomonadati; Pseudomonadota; Gammaproteobacteria; Pseudomonadales; Pseudomonadaceae. The record is from RNAcentral.